UGGGGAAUAUUGGACAAUGGGCGCAAGCCUGAUCCAGCCAUGCCGCGUGUGUGAAGAAGGCCUUAUGGUUGUAAAGCACUUUAAGCGAGGAGGAGGCUACUUUAGUUAAUACCUAGAGAUAGUGGACGUUACUCGCAGAACAAGCACCGGCUAACUCUGUGCCAGCAGCCGCGGUAAUACAGAGGGUGCAAGCGUUAAUCGGAUUUACUGGGCAUAAAGCGCGCGUAGGCGGCUAAUUAAGUCAAAUGUGAAAUCCCCGAGCUUAACUUGGGAAUUGCAUUCGAUACUGGUUAGCUAGAGUGUGGGAGAGGAUGGUAGAAUUCCAGGUGUAGCGGUGAAAUGCGUAGAGAUCUGGAGGAAUACCGAUGGCGAAGGCAGCCAUCUGGCCUAACACUGACGCUGAGGUGCGAAAGCAUGGGGAGCAAACAGG
Molecule: ribosomal RNA, 430 nt
Filed under: Pseudomonadota bacterium
Lineage: Bacteria; Pseudomonadati; Pseudomonadota
Description: Proteobacteria bacterium partial 16S ribosomal RNA
Rfam family: Bacterial small subunit ribosomal RNA
Source: RNAcentral